RNAcentral lists this ribosomal RNA (483 nucleotides) under uncultured bacterium. RNAcentral describes it as "partial 16S ribosomal RNA". It matches the Rfam family "Bacterial small subunit ribosomal RNA", at positions 30 to 507 of the family's 1533-position model. The record is from RNAcentral.
AUUGAACGCUGGCGGCAGGCCUAACACAUGCAAGUCGAGCGGAUGAAGGGAGCUUGCUCCUGGAUUCAGCGGCGGACGGGUGAGUAAUGCCUAGGAAUCUGCCUGGUAGUGGGGGAUAACGUCCGGAAACGGGCGCUAAUACCGCAUACGUCCUGAGGGAGAAAGUGGGGGAUCUUCGGACCUCACGCUAUCAGAUGAGCCUAGGUCGGAUUAGCUAGUUGGUGGGGUAAAGGCCUACCAAGGCGACGAUCCGUAACUGGUCUGAGAGGAUGAUCAGUCACACUGGAACUGAGACACGGUCCAGACUCCUACGGGAGGCAGCAGUGGGAAUAUUGGACAAUGGGCGAAAGCCUGAUCCAGCCAUGCCGCGUGUGUGAAGAAGGUCUUCGGAUUGUAAGGCACUUUAAGUUGGGAGGAAGGGCAGUAAGUUAAUACCUUGCUGUUUUGACGUUACCAACAGAAUAAGCACCGGCUAACUUCGUG